AUGGAGUACGUCGUGUGCAACCCGGCCACCGAGGAGUGGACCGUCGUGCCCGCCACCAAGCAGCUGCACCCGAACAAGAAGAACAUUGUCCGCUUGGGUUUUGACCCACUCGUCCCCUCCCGCUUCGCCGUGUUCGUCCUCGUGCGUGGCCACGGGGUCACCAGAGUGGAGAUCUUCUCAUCGGAAACCGGGAGGUGGAUUUCUAAGGAGAGCGAGUGGGGCGACGGCACAAGCGUGGACGAUCACAAUUGUUCAGCCUCUGUCUUCUUCGGUGGGGCGCUGCAUCUGAGUACCCACGAUUCUUCCGUGAUCACGGUGGACACGAAGGGGAAUACUUGGCGGAAAAUCCGAAUGCCGCUCAGCGUAGAGGACACCUCGGAUUACGGUUAUAUCGCGCAGUCUCAGGGACGCCUGUAUGCAAUGCAUAUGGAUUACUGCAAUGGUAAGUGCCAGCUCUCAGUGUGGGUUCUUGAAGAUUAUGCUAGUGGGCAGUGGACUUUGAAGCAUACAGCUGACAUGUCGGGAAUGAUAGGCCACGAUGAGGUGUGCACAUUUGUCGCAGUCAACAUGGAACGCAAAUCGAUCUUUUUCCAAACCAAUGGGUGGAAUGAAAAGCUUGUGUCAUACCAUAUGGAAAACCAGAGAUGUCGUGUUAUCUUCAGUUUUGAGAGGGAUUUCAAUCUCCGAUGUGAACCUUAUAUCCCCAAUUACACGGAA
This 717-nucleotide ribosomal RNA is filed under the name Triticum aestivum (bread wheat). RNAcentral describes it as "partial small subunit ribosomal RNA". Lineage: Eukaryota; Viridiplantae; Streptophyta; Magnoliopsida; Poales; Poaceae. The record is from RNAcentral.